This is a long non-coding RNA of Bradysia coprophila, 410 nucleotides long. RefSeq lists it as uncharacterized. The record is from RefSeq and is a predicted model, not a curated record. NCBI's taxonomy places the organism in Eukaryota, Metazoa, Arthropoda, Insecta, Diptera, Sciaridae.
UUAGUAUUUAAGCCGCCUUAAAACGGAACUUAUUCAUACUUUGCACUAAGUUCAGAGUCCCGUUGCAUUCACAAGAGACUUGCUUCCAGUUUAGUUCAAGAUAACUUCCAACGCAGCUACAAUGAACAUUUCUUCAAUCAUAUUUUUCAUUUUUGUAGUUGUGUGCGCCUUUGUAUCUAUCGAUGCAUGCAGCAACGAAAAUCAACUAUGCAACAUAUUUGGUGAACCAUGUUGUGCGGGAUUGACUUGUUAUCGUGCAGCCCCUGGAGUCUUGUACUGCAAAAAAUAAUGGAAAAACGAAGUGACAUUACAGAGUCACAACUGACAGAGGUUGAGGAAAACUACCCGAUUUCGAGACAGUUAAAAAUGGAAAAAAAUAUAUUUAAAUAAAGAAAUUCUUAAAGUUGAAA